Molecule: long non-coding RNA, 2573 nt
Organism: Callithrix jacchus (white-tufted-ear marmoset)
Lineage: Eukaryota; Metazoa; Chordata; Mammalia; Primates; Cebidae
Source: Ensembl
ACAGACAAAGGCACAGGGGUGGGAACGGCACGAUAAAUUUAGGAAACUAUAAAUAAUUCAGGGAGGGGUCUGCUGUGCAGUGGGCAGGGAGUGGCAUAGUGGGCGUGAGGCUGGUGAGAUGGGCUGGGAGGGUUCUGAGGGCUUUGGGCCUUACUCUACAGGCAGUGGGGAGCCACAGCGGAUUCUCGAGGCAGGGAGAGGCUCGCCCCCAGUGGCCUUCAGAAAGGGUCUCUGGCGACUGCUCGCCUGGGACAUUGGUGGGUGAUUCUGUGCCUUCACAGGCUCCAUCACCAGCUCAUUCCUCUUCAAGAAGCGUCCCCUCCUAGGCCAAUGCCAGGGGUCACUGCCUGUAAUCCACCUCAACCUGGCCACAUCCUGGAAGCCAGACCCAGAGUCACACUUUUCCCCUGGGUUUCUAGGCUUUUUUAUCCUCAGGUAGCUUUUGCCCCAACCCUACUCAUGUAAUGUUGAUGAUACAGCAAAGCACAGGUCAAGAAAACUCAGGCCAGGCCAUGAGAGGGCAUCGGCUCUCAUUACAGAAACCAAACGAGGCCCCAGAAAGCCAGGGAGCUCAUGCCGGCUGCAGUUCCAAGAUUCCCCAGAGGAACUAUCUAUGAAGAAUCACAUACCUUUGCACUUUUUAAAUGCUUUCAUCCAAAGGGCUUCAGGUCGUUUGAAAAUCUUGGGUUUGGUUCGGGGAACACUGGCUGCACACUUUCUUUCUAAGCCAAGGACCGAGCUGGGCACUGGGUAAUUCCCGCGAAUCGUCACGCACUCAGGAAAAUCCUGCAAGGCUGCCUGUGCCUCACUCAGAUGGGCAACAGAUAGGUCUCAAGGAAUGGACUUUUGCACCGCGUGGGCUGGCUUCAGGAAGCCUCAGGGGCAGGUGAAGUUCUCCAGGUCAGCAGCAGAAGACGUCACCACUUCUAGGCCUGAAGGGGCAAAGGGAGGGGCGUGUUCAAGGAAAUAGAGCACUCUAUCACCAUGGGAGGGACCGCCGGACAGGAGCGGCACCCCAAGAAGGAGAAGUUCGAGCCAGGAGCGACGCCUUCCUCACAGCCCUCCACAGGGACCAGCAGUGCUGACACCUUGCCUCGGGGCUCCUGGCUUCCAAAACUGCGGGAAAAUCAAUUCCUGUCGUUUGAGCCCCUGGGUCUGAGGUGCUUUGUGCGGCAGCCUCAGGAAACUGACACGAAGGAACUUGCCAGGAGCAGCACUGUCAGCGAAGGAAGGCUCAGCCUCCUGCAUCACUGGACCAGGUGGGGCGGAAAGGAGAGCAAAUCCAAAGACCACCCCCUACACCAAGCCCUGGACCUUUGGUAUCAGGAAACGUGGAGCGAAGAGAGUCAGCCAACCUGCAGGUAACUGCCCAGCCCCUGGGGAAGCGUCCAGACACAUCAGGGAGCAGGCAGCCUCGAGGAAAGCCCCUCAGGGAGGCCAGGGUGCACCCCUCAGAGACCCUGCGGCCCUGCUUGCUCACCUCUGACUUCACCCACCCUCUGCUCUGUGCUCUGCUCCCUCCUGAGCCUCUUAGGGACCCCAGACCCACAAGGGCCUCAGCUGGGGUUCCAGUCCUUCCAGUCUCUGCUGCUGUCGCUGGCUCUCUGGGGCCUGAGUGCCAUUUUAUACAGGGGUAGGUCCGUCCUCCAGCCCCUGGGGUCACGGCUGGUGGGGUCCUUGCCUGCUGUCCAACUGCCUUGGAAAGGGAACCUGAGAGGUGGCUCAAGCCCAGCCACCUUCCAUAGUGGGGACAGGGACACAGAAAACUCACCAUCAUUGGCACAGCAAAGUCCUGCGGUGACCCUGCUAAAGUGAGCAUGAAGGCCGAGCUAGAUACCAGAUACGGCUGGGUACAGUGUCAGGGAGUGUGAACGGAGCCGGAUACGGUGUCUGGGAGUGUGAACGGAGCCGGAUACGGUGUCAGGGAGUGUGAACGGAGCCGGAUACGGUGUCAGGGAGUGUGAAGGGAGCCGGAUACGGUGUCCGGGAGUGUGAACGGAGCCGGAUACGGUGUCCGGGAGUGUGAACGGAGCCGGAUACGGUGUCCGGGAGUGUGAACGGAGCCGGAUACGGUGUCAGGGAGUGUGAACAACACUGGACACACAGAUCAGCACGCAGGAUGGGUCAGCACAGCGGCUGUGUAAGGAGCUCCUUACCUCCAGCCUCGCUAUUCACACCGCCCUCUAGUACCCCCAGCCUCACCGUCCACACCUCCUUCUAGUAUGUGGCCUCGACUUCCUGUUAACAGGAGAAGCUCCGUCCAGCACCUAUGGUGCAGCUGGACCCCAACCAUCAUCCCCCAAUGUAGGGACACAGAGAAGGCUGCUGAAGCCACCAGAACUGGAGUUAAGCAGCCAAGUCAGCUCCUCUGAGACCUGCUCACCCAUGGUCGUAUGCACCAGAUAAAACCACACACUGGACCGGGAGAGGGCCAGGCGAGGACCAUGCGAGCCUGCUCUCUGCAGCGUUUUUCAGGGUGGCAAGAGUUGGAGAUGAGCUGGGAUCCUUUCCUGGGGUGCAAGGUGGUUCAGACCACAGGGUACCGUGUAGUCUCUGGAGGCAGGAGAGAUGUU